This 388-nucleotide ribosomal RNA is filed under the name uncultured bacterium. RNAcentral describes it as "bacterial SSU rRNA". It matches the Rfam family "Bacterial small subunit ribosomal RNA", at positions 28 to 377 of the family's 1533-position model. The record is from RNAcentral.
GAUGAACGCUGGCGGCGUGCCUAAUACAUGCAAGUCGAACGCAUUGUGGUUGAAAUGAUAUGAAGAACUUGUUCAGAUUUGAUUUUCAACAUUGCAAUGAGUGGCGAACGGGUGAGUAACACGUGGGAAACCUACCUCUUAGCAGGGGAUAACAUUUGGAAACAAAUGCUAAUACCGUAUAAUAAUUAAAACCGCAUGGUUUUAGUUUAAAAGAUGGUCUUGCUAUCACUAAGAGAUGGUCCCGCGGUGUAUUAGUUAGUUGGUGAGGUAAUGGCUCACCAAGACAAUGAUACAUAGCCGAGUUGAGAGACUGACCGGCCACAAUGGGACUGAGACACGGCCCAUACUCCUACGGGAGGCAGCAGUAGGGAAUCUUCCACAAUGGACG